Molecule: ribosomal RNA, 18 nt
Filed under: uncultured mycorrhiza of Hexalectris spicata sp. B
Lineage: Eukaryota; Fungi; Basidiomycota; Agaricomycetes; Sebacinales; Sebacinaceae
Also listed under: 4 other names
Description: partial 28S ribosomal RNA
Source: RNAcentral
ACUUGACCUCAAAUCGAG